GUUUGGUCUUGUCUCUACUCUAUCCUCUACUCAUCUCUCCUCCUUUGCAGCUCAUCGUCGUCGGCCUCUCAGUCGCCGGUCCCUGUCUCAUCACGAUUCGUGCCAGUCCUCACCGAAUCGCACUCCCGGCGGCGCUGUUUGGUCUUGCCUCUACUCUAUCCUCUGCUCAUCUCUCCUCCUUGGCUCCUUUGCCUCUCGGGCCUCGACGGUUGUGUCUGGCCUCCGGUGGAAUCCCGGCACGCUCCUCUCUCCUCCUCUGCUUCUUGGCGGCUGUGUCUCAUACUUUCAGUGAAGAUGAAGAUGUGAAUUCUCAAGAUACUAGGUGAGGCGGUGUUUCAACUUCCGAAUCAGAUUCAAAUUUUAUUGAUUUGGAAGUUGAUAAUUGAUUUAUGUGGAUUGAUUUAAGGAUUUUUUCGGGUGUCUUGUUGAUUUAUAAAUUAUGUUGUGUGUUUUGUUUUAAUUAUAAUAAAAUUUAUGUGUGGAUUAUGUGUUUGUUUUA
This is a non-coding RNA of Arachis ipaensis, 499 nucleotides long. Lineage: Eukaryota; Viridiplantae; Streptophyta; Magnoliopsida; Fabales; Fabaceae. The record is from RefSeq and is a predicted model, not a curated record.